Molecule: ribosomal RNA, 253 nt
Filed under: uncultured bacterium
Lineage: Bacteria
Description: partial 16S ribosomal RNA
Rfam family: Bacterial small subunit ribosomal RNA
Source: RNAcentral
UACGGGGGGGGCAAGCGUUGUUCGGAAUUACUGGGCGUAAAGGGCUCGUAGGCGGCCAACUAAGUCAGACGUGAAAUCCCCAGGCUCAACUUGGGAACUGCGUCUGAUACUGGAUGGCUUGAGUUCGGGAGAGGGAUGCAGAAUUCCAGGUGUAGCGGUGAAAUGCGUAGAUAUCUGGAGGAAUACCGGUGGCGAAGGCGGCAUCCUGGACCGAUAUUGACACUGAGGAGCGAAAGCCAGGGGAGCAAACGGG